RNAcentral lists this ribosomal RNA (562 nucleotides) under uncultured bacterium. RNAcentral's name for it is "partial 16S ribosomal RNA". It matches the Rfam family "Bacterial small subunit ribosomal RNA", at positions 355 to 926 of the family's 1533-position model. The record is from RNAcentral.
UGGGGAAUAUUGCACAAUGGGCGCAAGCCUGAUGCAGCGACGCCGCGUGAGGGAUGACGGCCUUCGGGUUGUAAACCUCUUUCAAUAGGGACGAAGCGCAAGUGACGGUACCUAUAGAAGAAGGACCGGCCAACUACGUGCCAGCAGCCGCGGUAAUACGUGAGGGUCCGAGCGUUGUCCGGAAUUACUGGGCGUAAAGAGCUCGUAGGUGGUUUGUCGCGUUGUUCGUGAAAACUCACAGCUUAACUGUGGGCGUGCGGGCGAUACGGGCAGACUAGAGUACUGCAGGGGAGACUGGAAUUCCUGGUGUAGCGGUGGAAUGCGCAGAUAUCAGGAGGAACACCGGUGGCGAAGGCGGGUCUCUGGGCAGUAACUGACGCUGAGGAGCGAAAGCGUGGGGAGCGAACAGGAUUAGAUACCCUGGUAGUCCACGCCGUAAACGGUGGGUACUAGGUGUGGGUUUCCUUCCUUGGGAUCCGUGCCGUAGCUAACGCAUUAAGUACCCCGCCUGGGGAGUACGGCCGCAAGGCUAAAACUUAAAUGAAUUGACGGGGUCAAGCUG